This 610-nucleotide ribosomal RNA is filed under the name uncultured bacterium. RNAcentral describes it as "bacterial SSU rRNA". It matches the Rfam family "Bacterial small subunit ribosomal RNA", at positions 808 to 1416 of the family's 1533-position model. The record is from RNAcentral.
GUUGGGCACUAGGUGUGGGGGACAUUCCACGUUUUCCGCGCCGUAGCUAACGCAUUAAGUGCCCCGCCUGGGGAGUACGGCCGCAAGGCUAAAACUCAAAGGAAUUGACGGGGGCCCGCACAAGCGGCGGAGCAUGCGGAUUAAUUCGAUGCAACGCGAAGAACCUUACCAAGGCUUGACAUGGACUGGAAAUACCUGGAAACAGGUGCCCCGCUUGCGGCCGGUUCACAGGUGGUGCAUGGUUGUCGUCAGCUCGUGUCGUGAGAUGUUGGGUUAAGUCCCGCAACGAGCGCAACCCUCGUUCUAUGUUGCCAGCACGUGAUGGUGGGGACUCAUAGGAGACUGCCGGGGUCAACUCGGAGGAAGGUGGGGACGACGUCAAAUCAUCAUGCCCCUUAUGUCUUGGGCUUCACGCAUGCUACAAUGGCCGGUACAAAGGGUUGCGAUACUGUGAGGUGGAGCUAAUCCCAAAAAGCCGGUCUCAGUUCGGAUUGGGUCUGCAACUCGACCCCAUGAAGUCGGAGUCGCUAGUAAUCGCAGAUCAGCAACGCUGCGGUGAAUACGUUCCCGGGCCUUGUACACACCGCCCGUCAAGUCACGAAAGUUGGUA